RNAcentral lists this ribosomal RNA (253 nucleotides) under uncultured bacterium. Its description in RNAcentral is "partial 16S ribosomal RNA". It matches the Rfam family "Bacterial small subunit ribosomal RNA", at positions 524 to 776 of the family's 1533-position model. The record is from RNAcentral.
UACAGAGGGUGCGAGCGUUAAUCGGAAUUACUGGGCGUAAAGCGUGCGCAGACGGUUGUCUAAGUCGGAUGUGAAAUCCCCGGGCUCAACCUGGGAAUUGCAUUCGAGACUGGGCGGCUAGGGUGCGGAAGAGGGAAGCGGAAUUUCCGGUGUAGCAGUGAAAUGCGUAGAUAUCGGAAGGAACAUCAGUGGCGAAGGCGGCUUCCUGGUCCAGCACCGACGUUCAGGCACGAAAGCGUGGGGAGCAAACAGG